RNAcentral lists this ribosomal RNA (468 nucleotides) under uncultured bacterium. RNAcentral describes it as "partial 16S ribosomal RNA". It matches the Rfam family "Bacterial small subunit ribosomal RNA", at positions 28 to 507 of the family's 1533-position model. The record is from RNAcentral.
GACGAACGCUGGCGGCGUGCUUAACACAUGCAAGUCGAACGGAAAGGCCCUGCUUUUGUGGGGUGCUCGAGUGGCGAACGGGUGAGUAAUACGUGAGUAACCUGCCCUUGACUUUGGGAUAACUUCAGGAAACUGGGGCUAAUACCGGAUAGGAGCUCCUGCUGCAUGGUGGGGGUUGGAAAGUUUCGGCGGUUGGGGAUGGACUCGCGGCUUAUCAGCUUGUUGGUGGGGUAGUGGCUUACCAAGGCUUUGACGGGUAGCCGGCCUGAGAGGGUGGCCGGCGACAUUGGGACUACGGUACGGCGCAGACUCCUACGGGAGGCAGCAGUGGGAAGUAUUGCACAAUGAGCGGGAGCGUGAUACGGCAGCGCCGCGUGCGUGAUAACGGCUUUCGGGUUGUAAACCGCUUUCGCCUGUGACGAAGCGUGAGUGACGGUAAUGGGUAAAGAAGCACCGGCUAACUACGUG